AAUAAUAUAAUUUAAAUAUAAUAAAUAAAAAUGAAUUCCUAUAAUUUUAAUAAGUGAAAAAAGACAUACAAUUUAUUUUUAAAAAUUAUAAAAAAAUAAAUAAUGAAAUUUAUAUUUUAAUAAUUAAUAAAUAUUAAAAAUAAGUAUCUGAAUAUAUAAAUAUUUUAUUUAAUAACAAACCUAGAGAACUGAAUCAUCUUAGUAUCUAGAGGAAAAUAAAGUAACAACGAUUUUUUAAGUAGAGGCGAUCGAAAAAAAAUAAAUUAAUAAAAUAGUAUAUAUUAAAUAAAUAUAUUUAUUUAAAGUAAAAUAAUUACAAAUUUUAUUUGAACAUAAACUAGUAUCAUCUUGUAAACUUAAAAAUAUAUUAAAAUUUAAUAGAGAAAUAGUACUGUGAAGGAAAGGUGAAAAGAUAUUUGGAAAAAUAAUUGAAAAGAUAAUGAAAUUUUUAUUUAUUUUAAAAUUUAAUUUAAUUUAAAAUAAUUAAAUUAAUUGCUUGUUGAAGAAUGAGUCAGUGAGUUAUAAUAAUACAAACAUAUUAAAAAAUUUUUAAAUAAUAGAUAACACAAAUUUAAAAUUAAUAAGUUAAUUUAUAUUUGUAUAUUAUAGACCCGAACCCAAAUGAUCUAAUUAUAUAUAAGAAUAUAAUUUAUUUUAAUAAAUUAUAUGUCUGAACUAAUUGAUGUUGCAAAAUCAUUAGAAAAUAUAUAAUUAGCUGUGAAAUGCUAAUCGAAUUUGGAGCUAACUGGUUUUCUCCGAAAUGUAUUUAGGUACAGAUUUUAUGUAAUAUAUUUAAUAAAAGGUAGAGAUAUGUAUAAUUAUUUUUAUAUUUUAUAUAAUAUAAAAAUAAUUUAACAAACUAAUAAAUUUUUAUUAAUUUAUAAUUAACUUUUUAAGUUUUUUUAUAAUUUAAAUAUCAUAAAAAUUGAGACUAUUAGGGAUAAGCUUAAUUGUCAAGAGGGAAACAGCCCAGAUUAUUAGAUAAGGUCCAUAAAUAUUAAUUAAGUUUUUUAAAGAUAGUUUUAAUAUGAUUACAACUAAAAUAUUAAGCUUAGAAGCAGCUAUUAUUUAAAGAGUGCGUAACAGCUCAUUAGUAAAAUAAUAUAGCAUCAAAAAUAAUCAGGAAUAAAUUAAUUACCGAUUCUAUAAAUUUUAUAUAAAAUAUUUAAAAUUAAUAUUUUAAUAUAAUAAAAUGGUAGGAGAACUUUUUAUAAAAAUAAAUUAUAUGUAAAUUAAAUAAUAAAUUAAUUUUAUAAAAGAGAUAAUGCUGAUUUAAGUAAUAAAAUAUUGAAAUAAAUUCAAUACCUUUAAUAUUUAAGGUUUCCUAUUAAUUGAGUUUUUCUAAUAGGGUUAGUCGAGACCUAAUACUAGACUAAAUGUGUAAUAGAUGGGUUAUAAAUUAAUAUUUUUAUACUUUUAUUUUUAUAUAAAAAUUUAUAAUUUCUUUUAUAAAGAAAAAAAUAUUUUAAAUUUAUAAAAAAAAUAAAUACUCGUAUUAAAUCUUAAACAUGUUAAUAGGUGGAAUAAAUAUUAAGAGGAUGAGUAAAUUAUCUUUAAGGAACUAGGCAAAUUGAUUCUGUAACUUAGGGAUAAAGAAUGCUCUUUGAGCAAUAUAUACUUGGUUCAAACGACUGUUUAUCAAAAACACAAGCUUUUGCAAAGUUUAAUAAUGAUGUAUAAAAGCUGACGUCUGCCCAGUUCUAGUAAGUGAAUAAAAAUGUUAAAUACAAUAUAUAUUUUAAUAAACUCUAGUUAAACGGCGGCUGUAUUCAUAACGGUCCGAAGGUAGCGAAAUUCCUUGUCGGGUAAGUUCCGACCUGCAUGAAAGACGUAACGAUUUGAACACUGUCUUAAAGAUAAUCUCAAUGAAAUAAUAAUAUCUGUGAAGAUACGGAUAACUUACACUAGGACAGAAAGACCCUAUGAAGCUUCACUAUAAUCUAUUAAUGGAUGAAAAUUUUAAUAAUAUGUAGAAUAAAUGGUUAAAAAUUUAAUUAUAAAUUUUUUAUAUAUGAAAUACCAUUAUAUUAAAAUAAGUAAUUCUAAUUAUUAAAUUAAUAUAACUUAAAAUAAAACAUUUUUAGAUUUGGUAGUUUGACUGGGGCGGUCCCCUCCUAAAUAGUAACGGAGGUGAACAAAGGUUAUAUAAAACUUAAAAUAAAAUUAAAAGUAAAUAAUUACUAAAAGGUAUUAAUUAUUAUAGCUUAACUGUUAAAAAAACAUAUUAAACAGAGAUGAAAAUCGGUCUUAUUGACCCGACAAACUUAUUUAUAAAUGAUUUUGUUGUCGAUAAUCGGAUAAAAGUUACUCUAGGGAUAACAGGCUUAUCUUUCCUGAUAGUUCAUAUUAACGGGAAGGUUUGGCACCUCGAUGUCGGCUUAUCGCAUCCUUGAGAUGAAGAAAGCUCAAAGGGUUGGUUUGUUCACCCAUUAAAGCGGUACGUGAGCUGGGUUCAGAACGUCGCAAGACAGUUUGGUCCAUAUCCAGUGUAAGUUUAUUGAACAUUGCUUAAAUUUUUUUUAGUACGAAAGGAUUAAAAAGAUUAUGUAAAUGGUGUACUAAUUACUUAAAAGUAUAAAUGUUAGGUAGCUAAACAUAAAUAAAAAUAUAAUCAUUGAAAGCAUAUAAAUGAGAAAUUUAUAAUAAAUAUGUUCUAUUAAUUUAAGAUAUCAUUUAUAUUAAAUGAUAAAAAAAUAAUUUUGCAUAAAUAUAGCAAUAUACUUAACAAAUAUAAUAUAUAUUUAUUU
This 2747-nucleotide ribosomal RNA is filed under the name Babesia microti strain RI. RNAcentral describes it as "23S ribosomal RNA". It matches the Rfam family "Bacterial large subunit ribosomal RNA". Lineage: Eukaryota; Apicomplexa; Aconoidasida; Piroplasmida; Babesiidae. The record is from RNAcentral.